This 309-nucleotide ribosomal RNA is filed under the name uncultured bacterium. RNAcentral's name for it is "partial 16S ribosomal RNA". It matches the Rfam family "Bacterial small subunit ribosomal RNA", at positions 504 to 808 of the family's 1533-position model. The record is from RNAcentral.
AGAGACAGCAGUCGCCACGGUAAUACAGAGGAUACAAGCGUUAUCUGGAAUUAUUGGGCGUAAAGCGAGCGCAGGCGGUUUGAUAAGUCUGAAGUUAAAGGCUGUGGCUCAACCAUAGUUCGCUUUGGAAACUGUCAAACUUGAGUGCAGAAGGGGAGAGUGGAAUUCCAUGUGUAGCGGUGAAAUGCGUAGAUAUAUGGAGGAACACCGGUGGCGAAAGCGGCUCUCUGGUCUGUAACUGACGCUGAGGCUCGAAAGCGUGGGGAGCGAACAGGAUUAGAUACCCGCGUAGUCCCUGUCUCUUAUACA